UGACAGAUUUAAUUAGAUCGAGGACGCGGACGUCAAAGACGACGUGAAAAUGGCGUGUUGUGCCCAUCCAUGUAUGGAUAUGCCACGCCAUUUUGACGUCAUUUUCACGUCGUCUUUGACGUCCGUGUCCUCGAUCUAAAUCUGUCA
Molecule: microRNA precursor, 147 nt
Filed under: Paramuricea clavata
Lineage: Eukaryota; Metazoa; Cnidaria; Anthozoa; Malacalcyonacea; Plexauridae
Source: RNAcentral